Long non-coding RNA from Aedes albopictus (Asian tiger mosquito), 966 nucleotides. RefSeq lists it as uncharacterized. Lineage: Eukaryota; Metazoa; Arthropoda; Insecta; Diptera; Culicidae. The record is from RefSeq and is a predicted model, not a curated record. The transcript is spliced from 2 exons.
CUUAAAAAGAUACGUUACCUAGUACAGGGGGUGCGACACUCUAAUCUUUUUCGAAUCUUUUCAAGUGAUUCAAAAAGAUUCGAAAAGAUUCAAGAUGAUUCGGUGAGAUUAAUAAAAAAACGCACCUGUCAAUUAUAUCAAAACAACUGACCUAUUUCGUUCAGUGUUUGUUUUGAGUUUGAAAGAAGACGAUCGCAACAUCAACAUCAGAAAAACGAAAACUAAAAAUGGUGCAAAACUGAAGUUGCAGCUCAAGCAUUUCCGCAGCCUCCUGGUCUACGAUCCGGUAAAUCGAAUGAUCCCGCAUUGCACCCAAGGAAGACCGUAAGAAACGUUUCCAUCGCCGAGGAGGUGGCCUUUCAACCGCUGCAAUAUGUUUACCCUCAUGCACUCACGACAUCCUCUGUCCAGGCACUUUUCCGCCUUCCGGUGUAAUUAUUCGGCCAUAGCGAAACCAUUGUAGUGCUUCUGGUGGAACUAUGCUUCUUGGAUACAUAGCAACGCGCGAAACAACCCACAAGGUCGCAACAUGACCAUGAAACCGUCGCACGGAUAUGUUCAACAAGAACACCAUCGACAACCCGAAGCAGUUGGAUCCGGCCACCACCGGUUCGAGUUCUCCAUCAAACGAUUACGACUGGCUACGGUAGCAAGAUGAUCGUUCGCUUCAUCGAACUGAUCCGUGUGGCCGACAUGGCUGUGACAUACAUGUCAUGUAUGUGACGGUGGUCCGAGCUUCCCGGGUGUACUGCACAGGGCUGCGUCAUGCCGAGCAGCUUAUGUCUCUUGUUCAAGCAAGAGUACUAAGUAGUCUUCUUCCAAGCAUCUGCUGACAAAGAAUUUCGACAAUGGGUUCCAGUAUUAUGGAAAUGAUUACAUAUGAAAAACCUCAUAUAAAACAAUUUUAAUUUGAAUGAAAUUCUCAAAAAUCUAGGCGUCAAUCUAGGAAAUAUAAGCUCAUGUUAA